CCUACGGGAGGCAGCAGUGAGGAAUAUUGGUCAAUGGACGAGAGUCUGAACCAGCCAAGUAGCGUGAAGGAUGACUGCCCUAUGGGUUGUAAACUUCUUUUAUAUGGGAAUAAAAUGUUCCACGUGUGGGAUUUUGUAUGUACCAUAUGAAUAAGGCUCGGCUAACUCCGUGCCAGCAGCCGCGGUAAUACGGAGGGUCCGAGCGUUAUCCGGAUUUAUUGGGUUUAAAGGGAGCGUAGGUGGAUUUUUAAGUCAGUUGUGAAAGUUUGCGGCGCAACCGUAAAAUUGCAGUUGAAACUGGCAGUCGUGAGUACAGUAGAGGUGGGCGGAAUUCGUGGUGUAGCGGUGAAAUGCUUAGAUAUCACGAAGAACUCCGAUUGCGAAGGCAGCUCACUGGACUGCAACUGACACUGAGGCUCGAAAGUGUGGGUAUCAAACAGGAUUAGAUACCCUUGUAGUC
This 460-nucleotide ribosomal RNA is filed under the name uncultured bacterium. RNAcentral's name for it is "partial 16S ribosomal RNA". It matches the Rfam family "Bacterial small subunit ribosomal RNA", at positions 338 to 795 of the family's 1533-position model. The record is from RNAcentral.